This 588-nucleotide ribosomal RNA is filed under the name uncultured bacterium. RNAcentral describes it as "partial 16S ribosomal RNA". It matches the Rfam family "Bacterial small subunit ribosomal RNA", at positions 355 to 1375 of the family's 1533-position model. The record is from RNAcentral.
UGGGGAAUUUUGGACAAUGGGCGAAAGCCUGAUCCAGCAAUGCCGCGUGUGUGAAGAAGGCCUUCGGGUUGUAAAGCACUUUUGUCCGGAAAGAAAUCCUUGGCUCUAAUACAGUCGGGGGAUGACGGUACCGGAAGAAUAAGCACCGGCUAACUACGUGCCAGCAGCCGCGGUAAUACGUAGGGUGCAAGCGUUAAUCGGAAUUACUGGGCGUAAAGCGUGCGCAGGCGGUUUGCUAAGAUCGAUGUGAAAUCCCCGGGCUCAACCUGGGAACUGCAUUGGUGACUGGCAGGCUAGAGUAUGGCAGAGGGGGGUAGAAUUCCACGUGUAGCAGUGAAAUGCGUAGAGAUGUGGAGGAAUACCGAUGGCGAAGGCAGCCCCCUGGGCCAAUACUGACGCUCAUGCACGAAAAGCGUGGGGAGCAAAACAGGAUUAGAUACCCUGGUAGUCCACGCCCUAAAACGAUGUCAACUAGUUGUUGGGGAUUCAUUUCCUUAGUAACGUAGCUAACGCGUGAAGUUGACCGCCUGGGGAGUACGGUCGCAAGAUUAAAACUCAAAUGAAUUGACGGGGUCAUAGCUGUUUCCU